GUCACUUAUAGAUGGAUCCGCGCCGUAUUAGCUAGUUGGUAAGGUAACGGCUUACCAAGGCAACGAUACGUAGCCGACCUGAGAGGGUGAUCGGCCACACUGGAACUGAGACACGGUCCAGACUCCUACGGGAGGCAGCAGUAGGGAAUCUUCCGCAAUGGGCGAAAGCCUGACGGAGCAACGCCGCGUGAGUGAUGAAGGUCUUCGGAUCGUAAAACUCUGUUAUCAGGGAAGAACAAAUGUGUAAGUAACUGUGCACAUCUUGACGGUACCUGAUCAGAAAGCCACGGCUAACUACGUGCCAGCAGCCGCGGUAAUACGUAGGUGGCAAGCGUUAUCCGGAAUUAUUGGGCGUAAAGCGCGCGUAGGCGGUUUUUUAAGUCUGAUGUGAAAGCCCACGGCUCAACCGUGGAGGGUCAUUGGAAACUGGAAAACUUGAGUGCAGAAGAGGAAAGUGGAAUUCCAUGUGUAGCGGUGAAAUGCGCAGAGAUAUGGAGGAACACCAGUGGCGAAGGCGACUUUCUGGUCUGUAACUGACGCUGAUGUGCGAAAGCGUGGGGAGCAAACAGGAUUAGAUACCCUGGUAGUCCACGCCGUAAACGAUGAGUGCU
RNAcentral lists this ribosomal RNA (611 nucleotides) under uncultured Staphylococcus sp. Its description in RNAcentral is "bacterial SSU rRNA". It matches the Rfam family "Bacterial small subunit ribosomal RNA", at positions 214 to 817 of the family's 1533-position model. The record is from RNAcentral. Lineage: Bacteria; Bacillati; Bacillota; Bacilli; Caryophanales; Staphylococcaceae.